Molecule: ribosomal RNA, 429 nt
Filed under: Chloroflexota bacterium
Lineage: Bacteria; Bacillati; Chloroflexota
Description: Chloroflexi bacterium partial 16S ribosomal RNA
Rfam family: Bacterial small subunit ribosomal RNA
Source: RNAcentral
UGGGGAAUAUUGCACAAUGGGCGCAAGCCUGAUGCAGCCAUGCCGCGUGUAUGAAGAAGGCCUUCGGGUUGUAAAGUACUUUCAGUCGGGAGGAAGGUGGUAAGGUUAAUAACCUUAUCAAUUGACGUUACCGACAGAAGAAGCACCGGCUAACUCCGUGCCAGCAGCCGCGGUAAUACGGAGGGUGCAAGCGUUAAUCGGAAUUACUGGGCGUAAAGCGCACGCAGGCGGUUGAUUGAGUCAGAUGUGAAAUCCCCGGGCUUAACCCGGGAAUUGCAUCUGAUACUGGUCAGCUAGAGUCUUGUAGAGGGGGGUAGAAUUCCAUGUGUAGCGGUGAAAUGCGUAGAUAUAUGGAGGAACACCAGUGGCGAAGGCGGCUCUCUGGUCUGUAACUGACGCUGAGGCUCGAAAGCGUGGGGAGCAAACAGG